UGGGGAAUAUUGCGCAAUGGGGGGAACCCUGACGCAGCCAUGCCGCGUGAAUGAAGAAGGCCUUCGGGUUGUAAAGUUCUUUCGGUAUUGAGGAAGGUUGAUGUGUUAAUAGCACAUCAAAUUGACGUUAAAUACAGAAGAAGCACCGGCUAACUCCGUGCCAGCAGCCGCGGUAAUACGGAGGGUGCGAGCGUUAAUCGGAAUAACUGGGCGUAAAGGGCACGCAGGCGGUUAUUUAAUUGAGGUGUGAAAGCCCCGGGCUUAACCUGGGAAUUGCAUUUCAGACUGGGUAACCAGAGUACUUUAGGGAGGGGUAGAAUUCCACGUGUAGCGGUGAAAUGCGUAGAGAUGUGGAGGAAUACCGAAGGCGAAGGCAGCCCCUUGGGAAUGUACUGACGUUCAUGUGCGAAAGCGUGGGGAGCAAACAGGAUUAGAUACCCUGGUAGUCCACGCUGUAAACGCUGUCGAUUUGGGGGUUGGGGUUUAACUCCGGCGCCCGUAGCUAACGCGAUAAAUCGACCGCCUGGGGAGCACGGCCGCAAGGUUA
This 547-nucleotide ribosomal RNA is filed under the name uncultured bacterium. Its description in RNAcentral is "bacterial SSU rRNA". It matches the Rfam family "Bacterial small subunit ribosomal RNA", at positions 355 to 896 of the family's 1533-position model. The record is from RNAcentral.